AGAGUUUGAUCCUGGCUCAGGAUGAACGCUGGCGGCGUGCCUAAUACAUGCAAGUCGAACGCUUCACUUCGGUGAAGAGUGGCGAACGGGUGAGUAAUACAUAAGUAACCUGGCAUCUACAGGGGGAUAACUGAUGGAAACGUCAGCUAAGACCGCAUAUGUGUAGAGAUCGCAUGAACUCUAUAUGAAAAGUGCUACGGGACUGGUAGAUGAUGGACUUAUGGCGCAUUAGCUGGUUGGUAGGGUAACGGCCUACCAAGGCGACGAUGCGUAGCCGACCUGAGAGGGUGACCGGCCACACUGGGACUGAGACACGGCCCAGACUCCUACGGGAGGCAGCAGUAGGGAAUUUUCGGCAAUGGGGGAAACCCUGACCGAGCAACGCCGCGUGAAGGAAGAAGUAAUUCGUUAUGUAAACUUCUGUCAUAGAGGAAGAACGGUGGAUAUAGGGAAUGAUAUCCAAGUGACGGUACUCUAUAAGAAAGCCACGGCUAACUACGUGCCAGCAGCCGCGGUAAUACGUAGGUGGCGAGCGUUAUCCGGAAUUAUUGGGCGUAAAGAGGGAGCAGGCGGCACUAAGGGUCUGUGGUGAAAGAUCGAAGCUUAACUUCGGUAAGCCAUGGAAACCGUAGAGCUAGAGUGUGUGAGAGGAUCGUGGAAUUCCAUGUGUAGCGGUGAAAUGCGUAGAUAUAUGGAGGAACACCAGUGGCGAAGGCGACGAUCUGGCGCAUAACUGACGCUCAGUCCCGAAAGCGUGGGGAGCAAAUAGGAUUAGAUACCCUAGUAGUCCACGCCGUAAACGAUGAGUACUAAGUGUUGGGAGUCAAAUCUCAGUGCUGCAGUUAACGCAAUAAGUACUCCGCCUGAGU
RNAcentral lists this ribosomal RNA (869 nucleotides) under human gut metagenome. Its description in RNAcentral is "bacterial SSU rRNA". It matches the Rfam family "Bacterial small subunit ribosomal RNA", at positions 9 to 873 of the family's 1533-position model. The record is from RNAcentral.